This 888-nucleotide ribosomal RNA is filed under the name uncultured bacterium. Its description in RNAcentral is "bacterial SSU rRNA". It matches the Rfam family "Bacterial small subunit ribosomal RNA", at positions 96 to 985 of the family's 1533-position model. The record is from RNAcentral.
CGGCGCACGGGUGAGUAACGCGUAUGUAACCUUCCUUUAACUGGGGCAUAGCCCGGAGAAAUUCGGAUUAAUACCCCAUAACAUUGCGAGAAGGCAUCUUUUUGCAAUUAAAGCUCCGGCGGUUAAAGAUGGGCAUGCGUGCCAUUAGCUAGUUGGUGAGGUAACGGCUCACCAAGGCUACGAUGGUUAGGGGGUCUGAGAGGAUGAUCCCCCACACUGGUACUGAGACACGGACCAGACUCCUACGGGAGGCAGCAGUGAGGAAUAUUGGGCAAUGGGCGCAAGCCUGACCCAGCCAUGCCGCGUGAAGGAUGAAUGCCCUAUGGGUUGUAAACUUCUUUUGUACCGGACGAAUCUCUCGAACGUGUUCGGGACUGACUGUACCGUACGAAUAAGCAUCGGCUAACUCCGUGCCAGCAGCCGCGGUAAUACGGAGGAUGCAAGCGUUAUCCGGAUUCAUUGGGUUUAAAGGGUGCGUAGGCGGAAGAAUAAGUCAGUGGUGAAAGCCUGCGGCUUAACCGUAGAAUUGCCAUUGAUACUGUUUUUCUUGAGUAUAGUUGAAGUGGGCGGAAUGUGUAAUGUAGCGGUGAAAUGCUUAGAUAUUACACAGAACACCAAUUGCGAAGGCAGCUCACUAAGCUGUUACUGACGCUGAGGCACGAAAGCGUGGGGAGCAAACAGGAUUAGAUACCCUGGUAGUCCACGCUGUAAACGAUGAUCACUCGUUGUUGGCGAUACACCGUCAGCGACUGAGCGAAAGCAAUAAGUGAUCCACCUGGGGAGUACGGUCGCAAGACUGAAACUCAAAGGAAUUGACGGGGGCCCGCACAAGCGGAGGAACAUGUGGUUUAAUUCGAUGAUACGCGAGGAACCUUACCUGGGCUUGAA